UUUUUUUACCAUAAUCCAUUUUAUCCAAUACUCAACACAAAUCAUAUCCAAUUUAGUUUAUCCGUUUAAAACCAAUUGCCAUUAUCCAAUCAUACCCAUAUCCAUUUGUACAAAAACCAAAAUUCUGCAUUUUCAUAAACAAAAAUUCUGCAUUUAAACUCUUAACAAAAUUCUGCAUUUAAACUCUUAACAAAAUUCUGCAUUAAACUUUUAACAAAAUUCUGCAUUGAAACAAAAUUCUGCACUAAAAAACUCUGCAUUGCAUUUUCAAAUUCUGCAUAAAAUUCUGCAUUGCAUUUAACAGCAACACAUCCAAAAUUCUGCAUAAAACAGCAUUAAAAUUCUGCAUCAUCAAAAUUCAGCAUUACAAAAAUUCUUUUCUGCAUAAAAUUCUGCAUAAAAUUCUGCAUCAUAAAAUUCAGCAUCAAAAUUCUGCAUCAAGUACAACCAAAAUCCUGCAUUAAAAUCAAAACAAAAUUCUGCAUAAAAUCAAAAUUAAUUUCCUGCAUAAUGAAAUAACAGAAAUCUUCAUUCUUGUAUGAGUAUAAAUAGUGCAAAGUCAUAACAGAAAGGAGAGAGGAUCCAUAACAGAAAAAUAACAGAAAUUGGAGGAAGCUUUUUCAUCCUCUAACCUCUCGUUUCUUCGUCCUCCAUCUUCUUCCAUUCCUCCACCAUCACAAACUCUUCCAAUCCUUCAACCACCGUAACCGUUUUUUAAUUCACCAUCACCUUCAUCAAAAUCUCCAAAACUCCAUAACCAACCAUCUCUCUAACCUUACUCUCCUAUAAGAACCAUCCUCCAUCUUCAAUCCAAGUUUCUUCCAUCAUCUUUCCCAUAAUUCAACAAUUCACCAGUUUCUUCUACCACCGCCAUCACCAUUCAACCAAAGUUUCUUCACCCUAACCAAACCUGCAACCUUCCAUGCACGCGAACCUCCAUACAUCCCCUACACAACCUUCUCUACAUUCUUCCAACCUAAGCAAACCUCUAACCAACCUCUAACAGAAAACCCCACAACCCCNUGGUCGCGAGACCACGUCUUUUCCAGGUUUACUCUGAGCGUUUCCUUUCCCUCUUUUGGGAUAAAUAACGCACGGUGGCGGCUCUGUUGUUCUUGUUUUCCCGCCGAUUUUUCGCGUAAUGCGAC
Molecule: long non-coding RNA, 1148 nt
Filed under: Lathyrus oleraceus (garden pea)
Lineage: Eukaryota; Viridiplantae; Streptophyta; Magnoliopsida; Fabales; Fabaceae
Description: Pisum sativum (pea) long non-coding RNA (PSAT_LNC002993)
Source: RNAcentral